This is a long non-coding RNA of Zingiber officinale, 1310 nucleotides long. RefSeq lists it as uncharacterized. The transcript is spliced from 2 exons. The record is from RefSeq and is a predicted model, not a curated record. Lineage: Eukaryota; Viridiplantae; Streptophyta; Magnoliopsida; Zingiberales; Zingiberaceae.
UCAAAUUUAUAUUCUUAUAUAUAUAUUUUAAUUAUUUUAUAUUUUUUUACUGAUUUAAUGUUUAAAUAAAAUUACCGAAACCGUAUUGGCACAGCACGAUACGAUACCGAAACCGUAUCGUUCCGGUCUUGGACCGAAACCUUGGCACGGGUCGAAAUUUUAAACCUUGCAUAUACCUAACCGGAGUAUGAUGUUUUGUUAGAGAGUUAAUCAUAUUGAUAAUAUUAGUUUGUCCUUGGCAUCCUUCUGGAGGUGAUAUUAUUCUGAAGAAGAUUAACACAGGUGACCACGGGUUUGAGCAUUACUUGAACUUCAUGAGUAUUUGUUUCAAUUUGCAGUAAGUAUCAUGUAGGGGUUUUGGUGAAAAGGUGGAGAAAUUUUGAGACAAGCUUAAAGACAGUGGUAUCAGAAUCAGUUGUGAUCCUUGUUCCUAACAGUUGCAAGCCAGGACUCACAACUGGUGCUGAUAUUCAAGGGAAGGAAGGGGAGAGGAAGGGGGGAGGAAGAGUAAGAAAAACAAAGGAAGAAGAUGCACAUGCAACUAUGCAAGUCCUGCACUUCUCAUCCACCAUUUGCCUAGGGCUUGUGAUUUCUAAGGAUCUGUUCACUUUAGAGGAAGGGUGUUGUGAUAGGGAAGGUACUGCACUGUCUUCCCUAUCUGCUGUUUUCUUGGAAAGCUGUUGCUGCAAGAAGGGAGACUCAAUUCAUUCCAUGGAAUCAAUUUGUUCCAAAACCCGCCCACCAAAAUCAUACAGGAGUGCUAAAAAGAGUUAAAAUUGGUGCUAAGGGCGUCAACUAACUGCAACAUGAUGGUGGUGGUGGCGGUAUAGUCAACGUCCUCAGAGUGUCUAUUUUUACAGUCUUCUUUGAUGAUUGAUUUUUAUUACUUGAAAGAAUUGUUGUACCAUUUGAAAUCUUUUUCCUUCUUGCAGUUUUUUUUUUCUCUUCUAUUUUGGAGUUUCCAUGAAAAUCUAAUGUGUUUUUAUUGUCUGCAGUCUUUUGUGUUCGUGUUUAUUCCACGUGAUUGUACUCAAGAUUAAUCUCAUUGUAUUUGCAUGUAUUUUUGAGUUUAGCAGUCUAUAUUUAACUGUGUCUAUUUGUUAAAUACUUAAAUUGGAUAGCCGGGGCUCUUCUUUCUCUAGAAAAUUGCAAAAUUAGCCUCCUUAACAGUUCCCUUCAUCUACACAUCUGUCAACAACUCUAGUGGUAUGUUCUAAUUCACUGUGUGAUGAUGGAAGAUGGACAAAUGAGAGGGUGCAUGAAAUGUGGGUAGGAUAGAGUCUUGUCUUGUUCUUUGUCUAUCAAAUUUU